GGCUACAACAGAUUAGCCUGGGAGAGUUCCUGUGACUCACAUUCCUGUGUUCUUAAAAGCGUGCACUCAGUUUUAACAGGCAGGUUCACGACGGUAACUAGCUGCAGCUUUCAGAUGCCAGGAAAACAGAUUUUCAUGUUCCCGCAAUACCUUAAUCCUGGAAGGGCAGGUGACAGAGUGGAUAUAAAGAGCUGCUAAGCAGGUACAACUUUGGCUCCCCCACUCCCAGCGUGGCAGCCAGAGGAGCUAACUCAGGGAGAAACAGCCGUCUGCCUCUGAGGAGUCACAUCCCAGUCAUCUCAACAGCAUUCACCAUUGCUGCAUGCCAAGAGCUAAGGAUCCUGAUCGUUGUUGCUGGACCAUUGAAGCCUACAUAGCAUUGUUCUUCCUCUGGGAAACUCACUUCUAGUCUUGCUUCCCGUGGUGCAGCACAGGGGAGGUGGUAGGACGUGCCACACCAGAGGGAGAUGAUUAGCCAGAGGAACUGCAAGCACCUGGAGCCAGUUGUCUCUCCUGGAGGACAUCAGCGCUGAGAGGAGUCAACGCAUCCCAAGUUGUCCUAGGGAAGAAAGCCUCUCAAAAAUAGUUCUAUUAGAAGACAAUCAUUUCAGCAAUUUAAAACUGUUUUCAGAGGUUGCUGAAGGAUUGGUUUUGCUUCAUGAGAAUGUGCUUCAGGUUCUUCACACAGAUGGGAGAAAAAAGUCACGCUGCCUCAGAUUCUGCAAUGCUGAUCGAGCAAAUGCUGGGGACACAGACCAGCGUUCUGCGGUUUCUGGCUGAUUAACCAGAAAUGAGCUGAAUUUUCUGUUUGGAAGAAAGGAUCUGCACUUGCCUGCCGCUGAGUUGUCAUGGAGCUCAUUACCUCCAAUGAGAUGAGCAGUAGUGUGGAAUAAUUAAACUUACUUCCUGCUGGCUAGUGGUCAUUUGAAUGCUUAUGAAUAUGGGCAGCCUAUUGACCUAAAUGUGUGAGAAACCCUGCAUGGGAACCAACAGCACACACUCACACAAUCCUCAUAACGUUGUCCAGCUGGAUUUGUGGAGAAACUUGCCUGCCAGGGAUAACAGAGGAGAACAUGUGGACUCAAGUCCCUCUGUAGCAGAGAAAGGAGGGCUGAACAAGGGUCUCCUUGAUCCUGAGGGCAUUAGCUCACCCAGUACUGAUGGAAACACUGCACUGCUUGCAGUUCUCCACCCCCAGCUGAAAGAGACUUGUUUGCCGCUGAUCACUUUGUAACAGAAGUUCCCCUUUGGAGAACAGGUGGAGAAGCUGCCUUUUCUGUCACUUGUACUUACAUUUUUGUCUGCUUUUAUGCUGAUAAAAUUCCACUGACGUCAGCUAUAGCGAAUCUUUAUGCUUGAUAAAUGUGUGAACAAGAAGAGAAUCAGGAUCACACUAAACAAACAAACGUCAAUCAUCAAAAAAUAAGUGGUGUUGUUAGCCUGCUCAAAGGAACGAUAAGUGGAAGAGGCUUUGUAUAACUCUUCCUCCAUGCUCAAAGGUGGAUGGGUUUAGAAAUAAGAAUGGAGACCAUGGAUUACCAGUUUAGCCAGAUCUCAAGAAUAACCUGCACUGACUAAGGAUGGCAUGCAAUUCCAACACCUCAAAAUGUAUUGCAGUAUACAACAGACAUGGGAAUUCUUCUGGCUCCUCUACUUAAUCUUCCACAUCUUCAAAAGGUAUUCCUUUGGUCAAACAUCGUAUCAGUUUCAUUUUCCCUGCAGAAUGUUGUUGUAACAGAAACAGUUCAGCCGGGGUGCUGUAAAUUUCAAAUUAAGAUGGCAAUAGAGGUCUCAUGGCAUGUGAAAGAUGAGUUUGGAAAAACUGUUUUAGGAAGGAAUGCAAGGUAUUCUGGUGCUCGUAUAGUAACGACUGGAAGCAGAUACUUGUUAUCUCCACACAUUUCCAACUUUCCCAGUAUCACUUGCACUACUCCCUUAAUUUAAAUGACAGGAAAUUACUGUUUGCUUAUUUCCUACACUAAACACACAGGCAGCUGACCUUUGUCUUAAGAUUUUUUUAAACCAUGGUCACUAACUCUACAUUUACAUAUAUUCAUUAAUUUUGAGUCUCAGAAGGUGGAAAGUCCUGUCAUGAGCAGAGAACCAAAGCAUGCAAGUGGAUUUUUGUGCUGGUCUUUCUGUUCAGCUGCAGAGAGAAAUGCUGUGUGCUGUUAACUUUGGUUUUUGAGGCUUCGUGCAGAGGCAUUGCCCAAGGGAGCACGGGCUCUUUGCCUUGGUCCUUGUUUAGGCUCGAUUCUUUAGGCAGAAAUGGCUCCUUGCAAACCAGUCUGGUCCUGGGCUGAGGCUCCUGAGACAGGAAUUGCCUGGUCUCAGCUGCCAGCUCUGUGUAAAUGCAAGUGAGUUGUUCAUGAGCACUUAACGCACUGCAAAAGCAACUUACAAAGCUUCAAGUAUUUGAUCUCACAGACUAAAUCAUCAAUAUUAGUGCCAGAAGGAACAGUAACGUGAAGAAAGGGGGGAACGCAGAGAUGCAGCCCCUGCUGCAGUUCAGAGACGUGUGUCUGAGCACAGGUGGGAGUGAGCAGGCAACCCCCACCAGGUCCUGCAGGCUCAGACAAAGGAGAUGGUUGUCCAAAGACCACAUUUGCCUGGUUCACAGGCUGUGUUUUAUAGAAUCAUUUCAGGUGGAAGAGACCCUCAGGAUCAUUGAGUCCAACCAUAACCUAACUCUAGCACUAAACCAUGUUCCUAAGAACCUCGUCUAAAUGCCUUUUAAACACCUCCAGGAUUGGUGACUCCACCACUUCCCUGGGCAGUCUGUUCCAAUGCCUGACAACCCCUUCUGUGAAUAAAUUUUUCCUAAUAUCCAAUUUAAAUCUCCCCUGGCACAACUUGAAGCCAUUUCCUUUUGUCCUUUCUCUUGCUAUUUGAUAGAAGAGACCAACAUCCUCCAUGAUACAACCUCUUUUCAGGUAGCUGUAGACAGCAGUAAGGUCUCCCCUCAGCCUCCUUUUCUCCAGGCUAAACAGCCCCAGUUCCCUCAACCGCUCCUCAUCAGACUUGUGCUUCUGGCCCCUCACCAGCUUCAUCACUCUCCACUGAACUCUCUCUAGUACCUCGAAGUCUUUUCUUAUGAAAAGAAAGACAUGUCUUUCUUCAUUUCAAAAUUGAACACAACAUUCAAGGUGAGGCCUCACCAGCGCUGAGUACAGUGGCACGAUCACUUGUCCUGCUGGCCACCCAGCUCAUCUUGACACAGCUCUGCCCUACUGGAUGCUAGACAUCGACUCCUGUGGUUCAGCAGCACCUAACAGUGAGUGGGCAGCAAGGGGGUCUUUGCCUGGAGGGAGAAGUACAGAGAUUGAGGAAAGCAAAGGAGCACAGCCCACAGGGCACUGUAAGGCUCCCAGGAAGCAGAUGGGCGAGAACAGACAGCUACAGGAAAACCAUUCCUCAAGUUUAUCAGUAAUGUGCUUUGGCAAUAUUCUGUAUAUAGAACAAACUGCAGACACUAGAAUUAGUCCAGAAGAAGAUCUUUUAACUUUCUGUAUGAAGAAGGAAGCAAGCUGAUUAUCUCAGCACCAAACAUCUCCAACAUGGGAAAGAUUUUCAGAUAUGUUUAAAAGGCACCGUAGGGGCUGUGCCUCACUUUUGCUGUUAAUAAUGUAAUAUGGCUGUAAUAUAUAUAUUUUUAAUAACUAAAGACAAAUUGUAGCACAUAAAAGACUGUGAGGUUAUAUUUUAGUUUUCUAGAAGCUGAGAUAGUCAUAUAAAUAUAUUACGAAAGCAUUGUAACAAAAGUGCUAGUGUUUUAAUGAUAAAACAUCCAGGGUCAGUAGAAAAUAUAUAUCAUCAUCUGCAAAUUCACUUUAGAUGUAAUAAAAUAGCACAGAAUAGGGGAUCUGUCACAUUUUAAAUAGGAUAAAUGUUAUUUAUACUUUAUGAUGCACCAUUUUAUCUUUAGAGGUGAGAAGAAGCAGCAGAACUGAGUAUUUGAUCACGCAGCAUCUGCAAAUGUCAGAGAGGCCGUGGCAGCUCAUCUGACAGCAACAGGCAAAGGCUGCAGGCAAUCAAGACAGAUACCCUUCCUUAUGCUCCAUUUUUAUCAUAGCCCCCACUUCUGCUGAUGUAACUGCUGUUGGUGUCAUAUUCUAAACCAGAUACAGGUUAAAAACAAAACUAAACUAAAAAAAAAAAAAAAAAAAAAAACAACAAAUCAACAAGGACCUCCAAGACCCAAAUUAGCAUGACCUGACGGGGGAAGAAGGUGAAAGGAGCACCACGGGUAUUUGCUUAGCAAGCAUGGGAAUAAGAAAGCAGCUGAGGAAGAGGCAAAGACCUUUCCAAUUACAAAAAAAAAAUCACAAAUCUAUGGCCCAGGUGGACACAAUUCUUUUUGCCGCAGCUAUCAAACCAUACUUCCCUGCACGUGAGAAGAUGGCUGAAUUUUUGAAGUGUUUAGCUCUUAUUUUGGUACUUCACUACAAUGCUUCUGUUUUGAAAGCCUGGCCUCUCUAGCAAGUUGCUCUAACAUACACUGCACUGUACAACUAAUCUAGAGUUCUUUCAGCUACAAGUACCCUCAACAGCGCUCUGUGCUCUGCCUCUGAUUUCCAAAACUGCAUAAAUAUACUUACAAACAAUUGAUAACUAAGACUCAAGUGUCAUCUUAAAAUCUCCAUCUCCACUUACAGGAUUUGAAGAAAAUCACUGCAGACCUGGGGUUUGGCAGAAAUUGGUCCACGUGAUGGGACAGUUCUGCCCAGGCCACAUUUUGCUAAUUCCAGUAGAUAUCUGGGUUGCUACCAAGGGCCACUGGUGUGAGGAAAUGGGAGGUACCUGCUCUCCCCAGCUUCAUCCCUAACUCCAUACAGACGCAUACAUGCUGUGAUUGGUAAGGAGAGCUGCAGUAUCAGCUGGCAGUGAAUUGUAGCAGCUUAAACAUGGAAGAAAAAUUAGUAUCUUUGUUCAAAAGGUGUUAUAAAAUAAAUCAAACAACCCUAACUUCCCUGAACCACAAAAUAUAUUGUCCUGAACAAAUACUAAAAUUUGGUUUUGAAAGCACACAUAAAUUGGUUUGCUCAUCCUGUAGCAUUUUGCACCAUGAUUAAAUUGUAUUAGUGUCACAUUUUGUACCCAAAAUCAUAUUGCUGAGCUGCCUGACAGCAACUGUCAUUAUUCUAGAGCGUGACAUUUCUGACACUGGGAGUCCAAUAUGAGGUUUCACACUAAUUUUCAAACUGCUUGAAUGCUGAUUUAACAACCGAAUUGAAUGGUCAGUAUUUAUACCUUCACUAUUUCACAUUACCUCAUAAUUGAAAGCACCAAAAGGACAAGCCAUUUUGAUGAAAAACACUCUUUAAAUGACUACAGAGGACACACUAUGAGAAAUCUUCAAGAAGGCAGUUUUUAGAAAGUUGCACUAAACAACAAAACUGCAAUGUCAGGUUCUUUUAACAAAGCUAUCAAGUCAAUCCAGGCUUUCAAUCACCAUCCAAUAAACAAUAACACCCUAUAGAUCAACAGUCUAUCACUCUUCCUCUCUAAGCUUCCACUUAAGGAAGGCUGGGGAGGAAGCUGCUUCCCGUAGUCUGAGGGGAAUGAAGAACGACUUCAAGGUCUUGGGAAGGAUGGUGAAAGACUCAGGGGCUCAAGUGAUCUUCUCUUCACUCCUUCCAUCUUCAAGGGACGAUGUGGGAUGGAAUAGGAAAAUUCAGUCUCUUAAUGGUUGGCUCCAAGACUGGUGCUACAGACAGGGCUUUGGAUUUUUUGAUAAUGGUUGGUUUUAUAAGUCACCAGUCCGGACAGUGUCAAGUGGGAAAGGUUUAUCUCGCAGGGGCAAAAGGA
This is a long non-coding RNA of Columba livia (rock pigeon), 5808 nucleotides long. RefSeq lists it as uncharacterized. The record is from RefSeq and is a predicted model, not a curated record. Lineage: Eukaryota; Metazoa; Chordata; Aves; Columbiformes; Columbidae. The transcript is spliced from 12 exons.